Oncorhynchus masou masou (cherry salmon) is the source of this 275-nucleotide long non-coding RNA. RefSeq lists it as uncharacterized. Lineage: Eukaryota; Metazoa; Chordata; Actinopteri; Salmoniformes; Salmonidae. The record is from RefSeq and is a predicted model, not a curated record. The transcript has 3 exons.
CUGAGUCUUUACAUCAGAACAUUCUUCUCUCACCCUUUCCUGUCUCUCUCUCUCUCUCUCUCUCUCUCUCUCUCUCUCUCUCUGUGCCUUUCUGCACAACGGCAUAACAGUCUAUUUACUGAGGGUGAAAAGGAGGGAUUCUACCACCCAACAGUCCUCAACCAUGGGAGAUAAAGGCACAAGGGUAUUCAAAAAAGCAAGUCCCAAUGGAAAGCUCACAGUGUACCUGGGGAAGAGGGACUUUGUGGACCACGUUGACCUGGUGGAACCCGUAG